ACCCGCUGAACUUAAGCAUAUCAAUAAGCGGAGGAAAGGAAACCAACAGGGAUUGCCCUAGUAACGGCGAGUGAAGCGGCAACAGCUCAAAUUUGAAAUCUGGCGUCUUUGGCGUCCGAGUUGUAAUUUGCAGAGGGCGCUUUGGCAUUGGCAGCGGUCCAAGUUCCUUGGAACAGGACGUCACAGAGGGUGAGAAUCCCGUACGUGGUCGCUAGCCUUUACCGUGUAAAGCCCCUUCGACGAGUCGAGUUGUUUGGGAAUGCAGCUCUAAAUGGGAGGUAAAUUUCUUCUAAAGCUAAAUACUGGCCAGAGACCGAUAGCGCACAAGUAGAGUGAUCGAAAGAUGAAAAGCACUUUGGAAAGAGAGUUAAAAAGCACGUGAAAUUGUUGAAAGGGAAGCGCUUGCAGCCAGACUUGCCUGUAGUUGCUCAUCCGGGUUUCUACCCGGUGCACUCUUCUAUAGGCAGGCCAGCAUCAGUUUGGGCGGUUGGAUAAAGGUCUCUGUCAUGUACCUCUCUUCGGGGAGAACUUAUAGGGGAGACGACAUGCAACCAGCCUGGACUGAGGUCCGCGCAUCUGCUAGGAUGCUGGCGUAAUGGCUGU
RNAcentral lists this ribosomal RNA (603 nucleotides) under uncultured fungus. Its description in RNAcentral is "eukaryotic LSU rRNA". It matches the Rfam family "Eukaryotic large subunit ribosomal RNA", at positions 23 to 641 of the family's 3401-position model. The record is from RNAcentral. Lineage: Eukaryota; Fungi.